This is a small nuclear RNA of Peromyscus maniculatus bairdii (prairie deer mouse), 107 nucleotides long. NCBI's taxonomy places the organism in Eukaryota, Metazoa, Chordata, Mammalia, Rodentia, Cricetidae. The record is from Ensembl.
GUAUUUGCUUUAGCAGUACACAUUCUAAAAUUGGAACAAUAUAGAUAAGCUUGGCAUGGUGCCUGUGCAAGGAUGACAUGCAAAUUCAUGAGGCGUUCCAUAUUUUU